RNAcentral lists this ribosomal RNA (253 nucleotides) under uncultured bacterium. RNAcentral describes it as "partial 16S ribosomal RNA". It matches the Rfam family "Bacterial small subunit ribosomal RNA", at positions 524 to 776 of the family's 1533-position model. The record is from RNAcentral.
UACAGAGGUCCCAAGCGUUGUUCGGAUUCACUGGGCGUAAAGGGUGCGUAGGUGGCAAGGUAAGUUUGAUGUGAAAUCUCCGGGCUUAACCCGGAAACUGCAUUGAAUACUAUCUCGCUCGAGGAUUGGAGGGGAGACUGGAAUACUUGGUGUAGCAGUGAAAUGCGUAGAGAUCAAGUGGAACACCAGUGGCGAAGGCGAGUCUCUGGACAAAUCCUGACACUGAGGCACGAAAGCUAGGGGAGCAAACAGG